UGUGUCAGUGAUGUUAUCUGAAACAAUAUUUUGAGUUUUAAAUGGCCAUGAAAAUACUUAACAUGCACUACCAUCUGAGACACA
This is a small nucleolar RNA of Phyllopteryx taeniolatus (common seadragon), 84 nucleotides long. Lineage: Eukaryota; Metazoa; Chordata; Actinopteri; Syngnathiformes; Syngnathidae. The record is from RefSeq and is a predicted model, not a curated record.